Neopsephotus bourkii (Bourke's parrot) is the source of this 1694-nucleotide long non-coding RNA. RefSeq lists it as uncharacterized. The transcript is spliced from 2 exons. NCBI's taxonomy places the organism in Eukaryota, Metazoa, Chordata, Aves, Psittaciformes, Psittacidae. The record is from RefSeq and is a predicted model, not a curated record.
AGGAGGUGGAUUGUUGGAUCAGAGGGGAAAGGUAAAACCAGGAAACAUUCAUGAGAAUUGGGUCUUUGCAAGCUGCAUGGAAGGGUUAGGGUGCUGACAGCAUAAGAUCACAACAUUUCCCUGCUGCUUUCACAAAGGAAAGUAGUUAAGGGGGAGAGCAGGCACAAGGCACAUGGGCACUUCAAGGUUUCCAAGAGGUGCUUACUUUCCUCCGCUGGAGAGACUUUAAUAAUUCAACAUUAAGGCAAUGAAGGAUGUAUGAAGAACUCAAGCAGUGUAAACCAGGCAGGUAUUAACCUGAAUUCUUUUAAGACAAGCAAUGCUGAAAUCCAAAGAGCACUGAAAGACCGUUUAAGUUAUGGGAGAAGUGUAGGUAAUGCAAAAGAGACUGGAAAACAAGCUAAUAAAAGCACCCUAUGUGCCAGAGGAAUAAAAAGAAACUGUAACUAACAUGCUACUGAAGAACUCAGGUAGCCUCCAUUUGGUACUCCUCUGGUAUCCUGCAAGCUUAGGAGGCUCAUUUUCAGAGUUCACAGUACAGAACUCAAAUGAAGGUCAGUAAACACUCUGGGUACAUAACCUUUCUGAGAAGCUGGUCCUAAAUGGUCCAGGAAGACUAAGGCAUUAGACAUUAAUUAAACCCCUUAGUUCCAGGAUGGCCUUUCAACACAAGAAACAUUCCUUUGUUGAUUCACACAGCCUCAGAAAAACAUAAAUAUUUGUCAAGCUUAUCACAUUCAUGGCAGUAGUGUAUAGUGCUUGCUCCAGCACACACAGUCUUAAUAUAAUGACAUGGUAAUGCUUAUGAAAGAGCAGUUUUGUGGUGUAAUUAUAAAUCAGAUUUUAUGCUGUUGUCAACCCUGGCUCAAAUCUCUAAAUUUAGAAAAGUCAUUUAAAGUACCAUGGGCUUCCACUUCAAACAAAAAUCAGCAUGAUAAUCACAUGCACUCCAGCAGGAGUGUCAUGACACUAGCAAAAUUGAUGUUUGUAGGUAGCUUGAAAAAACUUUGGAAAGUUGGUGUUAAGCAUUACUUUGGUUUGGUAUUUUAGAUUCUGUCCUUGUUCAUUACCUCAGUCAUGAGUUCUGUGGUACCCUUGUACUUUGGCAGACAAGGAACCUUAUCAGUGGUUUCUAAGCACUGUCUCAGCACAGCAAUUACACAGAUACAGAAAAGUUCCAUGGCUGUCAUUUUAGGAGAUGAGGCUUCAACAGCUGUCAGGUUUUAUUUUGUUAUGCCAUCUAUUGCAGGUCUCUGUUGUGAGGGUGCAGCAGUCCUCUCAAUGGUGGCACCCAAAGCACUGAUCAAACCCAGCUGAAAGUACUCACUCAGUCCUACAUACUAAACAGUUCUGAUACACUAUUACACUGAGAUCAUAUUAUAAACUACAGUGUUUAUAAUAUGAUGUCAGACAGGGUUGCAUUGGUUACAGCCAGCCUGGUGUUCACAAAGAGUGGGAAAGAAUGGGGAGGCCAAGCAAUGCCCUGCUUGUCACUGCUUCCAGAAUUCCCAUGCCAAGGAAGAGUGGUCUGGGGGUGUGGCAGCCUUUGCAUCAACGACUCACUAAGGCAGCCACUAAUACCUUUCACUAUUACACCUGAACAGGAAUGAUCCAUUCCUAGAAUGUAGCUAUAGGUGGGACAAAAAGUAACUUACAUUACUUCUACAAUAAAGUAAAAUAUUAACACACAUAAA